AUGCACGCUGGCGGCGUGCCUAAUACAUGCAGGUCGAGCGAACAGAUAAGGAGCUUGCUCCUUUGACGUUAGCGGCGGACGGGUGAGUUACACGUGGAUAACCUACCUAUAAGACUGGGAUAACUUCGGGAAACCGGAGCUAAUACCGGAUAACAUAUUGAACCGCAUGGUUCAAUAGUGAAAGGCGGCUUUGCUGUCACUUAUAGAUGGAUCCGCGCCGUAUUAGCUAGUUGGUAAGGUAACGGCUUACCAAGGCAACGAUACGUAGCCGACCUGAGAGGGUGAUCGGCCACACUGGAACUGAGACACGGUCCAGACUCCUACGGGAGGCAGCAGUAGGGAAUCUUCCGCAAUGGGCGAAAGCCUGACGGAGCAACGCCGCGUGAGUGAUGAAGGUCUUCGGAUCGUAAAACUCUGUUAUCAGGGAAGAACAAAUGUGUAAGUAACUGUGCACAUCUUGACGGUACCUGAUCAGAAAGCCACGGCUAACUACGUG
RNAcentral lists this ribosomal RNA (496 nucleotides) under uncultured bacterium. RNAcentral's name for it is "partial 16S ribosomal RNA". It matches the Rfam family "Bacterial small subunit ribosomal RNA", at positions 29 to 507 of the family's 1533-position model. The record is from RNAcentral.